RNAcentral lists this long non-coding RNA (1403 nucleotides) under Vulpes vulpes (red fox). Its description in RNAcentral is "lncRNA (ENSVVUG00000010063.1)". Lineage: Eukaryota; Metazoa; Chordata; Mammalia; Carnivora; Canidae. The record is from RNAcentral.
GUUAAAACAAUAUUCAGUGUUUGCUUUAUUAUGGUUAUAUGAAUAGUCACAGAGGAGGCCUGUCAAAUAUUAUGAUGCAUUGUCAUUCUUGUACAAUUUUUUUAUUAUAAAUUGCCUAGCUUUCUAUGAAUCUACAAGUAAAUCAUUAUUUAACUCUUCUCCAGAAAUGUAAAUAUUCUUUCGACAUAUUCAAGCACAUUAGCUUAUCUAAUGAUAUCAUUUUGUUUCUUGAAUAUAUAUCUGUUGGUGAGUCUUCAGUCCUCUUGCUCCAAAUGCGGACUGGUUGCUCUCUAAGCCUGUGCAUCAGUUAGCUAUUUCUGCACAAUGGAUCGCUCUAAAAUGUAGUGUUUGGAAACAACAAUCUCUUAAUUCAGCUCACAAUCCUGCAGGUUGGUAGUUGGAACUGGUUUCUCCGUGACUUCCAUCACAUUUUGCCAGCCAAGCAAGUCACAAUGGCAGUCCAGAAUCAAGGUGUAGAGUAGAUUCCGUGUUUCAGUGAAAGGUUCUAGAAGUCAGUCUGCAAAGAGUAUAGAUGUAGGAAGGUGACCAAUUGGGUCUGUCCAUUCAAGCAGCCCGCCAGUCUGAUGCAUAGCCAUUGUGCUGGGGUCUCCUCCCACUGCCACUGGGUUUCAGAAACCAUAGCAGUGACUUUAACUGCAUGUGCAGGAAGGCGUGAAGGCAGUGGCUCGGCAGGUGCUGGUACUUCUAGAACAACAGUAGAUCCUGCAAGUGUUGGGAAAACUGCAAACCGGCUUCACCUGUUGCUUCAAGAAAAUGAUGUGCAAAAUGAACCUCUGAAGCAUGAAUGCUGGAAUUCAUUUUGGAAAACUGACACUACUCUUGGUGUCUGAGUCACCAAUUCAACACUCCUGGAUCCAUGUACGUUUGGAGCUUAUUGCAGGCAUAUUCCUUGAAUUGUCUACAUCAUUUUGUGCAUAGGUAUAGGCUCUGACUUCUUCCUUAUGUCCCUAGUUGGGUUGUACCCAAACAUGUCCAUAGUAAAGUAUAUGUUAUUCCUAAUACGUUACUCUCUUUCAACUUCUCCUAUGUAAUAUAAGGGUAUUAGGGUGAUUUUUAAAAAUCAUGUAUACAGGUUGCUUAUAUUACUUCUGCUUCAUUUCAGGAUACUAAAGAAGGUAUACAAAAUAUUUUUUUCGAGAAACAGGGUCAAGGGACAAAUUGGGAAGAACAGAUGACUUUAAGGGCCCUGGUACCUGUGAGUUUUUAAAUCCCAUGCUCAGAGAGGCUUAAUUAGAAAGGCUACAGCUGGUAAUCCAGAUCUGAAGCAAACAGCAAAUCAAAGCAAUUGUCUUGCACCAGUUGCUUUGAUCAUCUGACUGUGGCCUAGCUCUUUCAGGCCAGAAUCAGGGGAGACGGAGGAAUAAACAAACCCAAGAGAACCA